This 1226-nucleotide long non-coding RNA is filed under the name Homo sapiens (human). Its description in RNAcentral is "HSALNT0311064". Lineage: Eukaryota; Metazoa; Chordata; Mammalia; Primates; Hominidae. The record is from RNAcentral.
AGUUUACCCUGUACUGUGCUGCAAAAUAUUACUUUCUCCCCAUCUGGAAUUCUUCCCUUCCUCCUUCCUGCCGCAGUGGUGUACUGAGCACUUUCACGUAAGAGUAUUCCUCCACUCGAACAACCCCCCGGAGAAGUACUGGUGUCACUGCCACCUGCGAGAGUUUGCGGCUACCUCCCCAAGAGGCAGUCCCAGGGUUAUUGUGACCUAUGAUGUUUAUUCAACUACUGUUGACGGGCUGCUGUGCACAGGGAACCUAGUAGGCAAGACCCCUGCCAUCGUGCAGCUUACUGUCAGGUUGACACAGACCUUAAGAAAGAACAAAAUUUUAAAUAAAUUAAAAACGACACCUGUAAUUUGAGAAGAUGCUUGAUAUCAGAAGAGGAGAAGAGUGGAGAGGGGUGGAGUGGCAAAGGAGAGCCUCCAAACCAAAAGCCUGCGGCAGAGGCCCUAGGAGGCAAGCACUUAACCAUGUUUCAGGACUAGAAACGAAACAUGUGACAAGACCUUUAAAAACAAAUAGAAUGGGAUGGAAUAAAGUUGGAUGAGUAAGCAGGCAUCAAAUCAUUCAGAAACUUGUUGUCCAAGUUGAAGAAUUUGUUUAGUAUUGUAUAAUAAAUGCAGAGGAAGCUAUAUACACUUAUAAUUUACAUUUUUUAAAGGCCACGUUGUAGCUCAAUCGGAUAGUUUGUCUUUUGAUGGGAUGUAGUAUACAGUAUCAUCAUGGUAUAUUCCAGGCAAAAAUAUUUAACUUGAAUCUGUCAAGCCUUUGCAUCUAACACAGUUUAUAAAAAAUACAACAGAUAGAUGAACAAACUAAAUGAUGCCAGAGGAAGUAACUAGACAGAUCCAGAAGGUGAAACAUUCUGCAGGAUAACUGGCCCAUCUCUUCAACAAUUUGUCAUGAUAAAAGCAACUGCUUUAUGAAAAGAAAUUUAAGGGACAUAACAGUUUGAAUUGGAUCCUGGUUUGAACAGACUGUCUAUAAAAUGCAUUUUCAGGACCAUUAAAGAAAUAUGAAUGUAGAUGGACUGAGUAUUGGAUAAAAUAGAACUGUAUUGCCAUGGAAAAGAUCAUUAACUGAAAAGAGCAAGUCACGAAAUAGUAUGUUACAGCAUCUCAUUUUGGUUUAAAAAUGCACAUAUAUGUAUUUAUGUACAACUAAAAAAAUAGUGGGCUUAUACCCUAAGGUGUUAGUAUUGGUAAUCUUUGGAAGUGGAAAUGUG